AGGACUACAAUUCUAUGGGCGCUCAUUUCAAACCGAAGCGAAACAAAACGAGGAACCCUAGAGCCCCCCACAGCACAACCGAGUCAAGCAGGGUGAUGAAAGGUUGAAGUCAUAUAAAGAGAAUAAUUUGCUCCAAAUCAACACGAUAUCUUUCCACUUGAAUCAGGCAACCUAAACUCAAUACCACCGACUUUUUUUAUGAUACAAUUUUAGACCUUGUCAUCUUCAAUAAGGGAGAACCUUGACCACAAAUUAUGAAUAAAAUUUGAACUUGAAUACGCAAAUGGAAAUUAAAGAAAAAUCAAUCAGAAACAUCAGACCACAAAUCGCAUUCAUUGUCCUGAAAAAAAUUGGUACUAAUGAGUAGAAAUAGCUAUCUAAC
RNAcentral lists this long non-coding RNA (382 nucleotides) under Setaria viridis. Its description in RNAcentral is "long non-coding RNA (SVIR_LNC001327)". The record is from RNAcentral. Lineage: Eukaryota; Viridiplantae; Streptophyta; Magnoliopsida; Poales; Poaceae.